This 253-nucleotide ribosomal RNA is filed under the name uncultured bacterium. Its description in RNAcentral is "partial 16S ribosomal RNA". It matches the Rfam family "Bacterial small subunit ribosomal RNA", at positions 524 to 776 of the family's 1533-position model. The record is from RNAcentral.
UACGUAGGGUGCGAGCGUUAAUCGGAAUUACUGGGCGUAAAGCGCACGUAGGCGGUUACUUAAGUCGGAUGUGAAAGCCCUGGGCUCAACCGUGGAAGUGCACCCGAAACUGCAAGGCUAGAGUAUCGGAGAGGAAGGUGGAAUGCUUGGUGUAGAGGUGAAAUUCGUAGAUAUCAAGCGGAGCACCGGUGGCGAAGGCGGCCUUCUGGACGAUUACUGACGCUGAGACGCGAAAGCGUGGGUAGCAAACAGG